This is a long non-coding RNA of Pezoporus occidentalis (night parrot), 4290 nucleotides long. RefSeq lists it as uncharacterized. The record is from RefSeq and is a predicted model, not a curated record. The transcript has 3 exons. NCBI's taxonomy places the organism in Eukaryota, Metazoa, Chordata, Aves, Psittaciformes, Psittacidae.
AAUUAGCAAGAUGUCAUUUGUGAUAGAGAAGGAAUGUUUUGUUUCUCUAUCUCAAGGUAAGUUGUUCACUUUUCAGUAAUGUAUUGGGUUUAUGUGGCACGGUUCUGGUAGCACAGGAUGAAACUUCUAUCCUCAUUAGGCUUCAUAAGGCUUCCACAUUUCUCUUGUCCCUUUCCCUUCUCUCUCUCUUGUAUUUUAGUUUGAAACAGUAGCCAGGUCUGGAUUUCUCAGAAUUUCUUGCAUCCUUGAUUUCAGAUCAGUAACAUUUCACUUUCCUUGAGAGUCUUAAAUGAGUCACAAGACAUUAAACUAAAACUGAGGAAGUACAAAAGCAUGAUGUUCCUACAUCAAGUCUUGCACACAAACCUCAUGUAAACCUUCCAUCUGCCUGCACUUUGCAUUGCCUCUUCUUUGUGACCACAGCUGAAAGAGGCAAAAUUCCUCCAGUUCUUCCCUUCUUUGUUAGGAUUUUGGAGUAGUUCAGAUGUUAUCUCUGUAUGUGGGAGCAGCUCUACCCUGUAAUUCCAGAGCUCCUCGACUAGAGGUCAGCAACACAUCAAAGAACAUGAGAGAAAAUUACAAGCUCUGGAAUACUGGCUACCCCUAGACAUUUUAUUUUGCAUUUGAAAUGAAGAUUCUUGAUAUGGUUAACCAGCAGCAGCUAUAAGUCACAGAGAUGUGUGACCAGAGUAGUGGAAUGCUUCUGUUGUCUAUUUUAUGUAUUAGAAGUAUGUAGGAAGUAGUGCUUCCAAAUUUUAAACGAUAAGAAAAAUUUUCACCCUUUCAGUAUUAUUUGUUCUUACAUAGGAAGUUGCACAUUUUCAUGUGAUAUGUAGUUUAGAAAAAAUCCCAUUUCUAGAAAUUUUUACUGCUAAAUCUUUAUAUAAAUUUUUCAGUUGCAUUGGUGUUUUCUUCCCACAGUGCUAGCUAAAGUGCUUGGAAGAAAAGAUCAGUGUGUGAAGGAGAUGUGGUUAUAAUAGAUUACUUUACAAAGAGGCUCACAGUCCUAUUUUUCAUGUCCUUACAACUUCACAGAGUACAGAACAGAUCAGUCACUUUUUAAUAAAGGGCAAUUUUGUGCUAUGGCAUAUUGACUUCAAUAGGGAAUUCUGCUUAAAGCCUGAUGGCACAACAGAGAGCCCUAUUUCCAUGAAGGCAGGUGUAGGCAUUUGUGUUUCCACUGCCAGUCUCUCGGUACCACUUUGGAGGAAGAAAUCAGUGGGCUUUCCAGGUGAACCUUUCCUGCAUGUGAAACGUGAACUUGCUAGGAGCAAUUACACUGAUCUGUGGUGUGAGAUGGUUGGAAAGUUACCUGUCCUCUGUGUAAGAACUGUUUUAAUCUCUUCAGAAUCCCUUGGGGUUUUGCUGUUAGGAACAGGAUCACAAUUCAGAUGAACAUUACUGAAAUUUCAGAGAUGCCUCAAAGCUUUAUCCAAGAAAGAACCCCCAUCAUGCUGGUACUGUGCAAGUACAAAGACCUCUUUUUAGGUUUCCUGAUGUGUGCUGGAAGACAUCCCUAACCCCAUCAGUGGUUGUGCUUUGGUGGGACUUGUUGUUGGGUGGGGGUUACUCCCUCCUAUCUGAAGGAUAUCCUGAUUCAUCGAAGUGAUAGUCCCAGUCCCAAAGAACAGCUGGGGACACUGAGAAUGGUUGAUUACACUGAGCAGAGCCCUCCAGUUCCUGUGAGCUGAGCUGCUGUCUAGCAGGUGAAUUGGAAAGCUUGAAAGCCUUAAGUGUAUGGAACAGUCAUUACCUUCCCCUAACAAGAACCUGACUGGCAAAUUUGGUUUAAUACUUCUAACUAAUGGCAAAACCACUGCAACCUACUGACUAGUUCUCAGACACAAACCAGAUACCAGGGUUCCAGAAUACAGAGUCUUAACCCCCAUGGCUAUUGGCCCAUUUUUUCACUCUUUCAAAUAACUUUGCCUCUCGUAAAUCUGUUGCUCAUUUAAAGCAAACUUUCUGCUUGCAUCAGAAAUUACUUCCAGCACUGGUUAUGAAGCUUUCUGCAAUAUGUUAUAAAAUGAGGGCUGGGUUUGCUGCUUAAAUAAAGAAAGCCAGUUUGCUUCAAACGGAUCAUUUAUUGCUACCUUCAUACUGUAUAUUUAUUGUGAGGAUAUUGUCACAUUUCUUUCAGUUUUGAAAAUGUAAGUUGGAUUUUCUCUUUCAGGUUGCCAUCUGGUGUAUUGCGAACAGUCUCAGAGAGUAAGAGGCCAUCUGUUAAUACUUUUUCAGGAAGCUUUUUAUAGAGCAGUGAAGUGGCAAAUCUCAAAAACACGUUGUAAUGACUUACAAGAUCUUGGGUAUGUGUACAAGUAAAGGCUGGUAUUUUAUUCCUAUCAACAAUAUAGUUAUCAAGCUGGGAAGGAAAGGAAGAGAAGAAAGAGAACUUGCACACAAAUGCACAUGCAUUUUAAUGUCUCUUGCAUAUAUUACUUUUUCUAUUUUUACAUGAAAUGUAAAGUGAGUUUCUGCAGCUCUGAUUCAGUUUAUGCUCAUGUACUUUAGCAGGACUAAUUGCCUCUUUGAGAAACUGUUUCCUUCUUUAGCCAGUAAUAGAAAUCAAGUGACCCAGGAUUUUGCCUAAUAAUACUAAAAAUGUAGCUUAUGUUACUGUAGCAUGUGAUUUUUACACCUCCAAUGGCUGCUAUAUCUAAGAUGCUGAUGGGUCUGCUGCAAGAUGGCUGCCACGUGGGAAGGCCUUCAGUUCAGAACUUCUGCUUUUAGUGCCAACAACCUCAAGUUCAAUAUCUGCUGUGUUCCUAUGCAGAAGGUUAGUUACAGAUUCAGCUCCACAAGCACAGAUUUUUCAGCCCAAAUUUGAUAUGCUCACUUGGUCAUUGAAAGUAGCAGUAAGAGGACAUGACUUACAGAAGUGUUGCCUCAUCAACCACUGAAGUAUUCUGAUUGUUGUGGAACAAAAAAGACUGGGAAGGAGCUAGAUAUGAGAAUUGCCAAUUAAAUGCCUGCAAUGAAGCUUGCUGCAGGAGUAGCAUUAACACUGGUCUCUCUGUGUGUCUGACAGAGGAUGCCUCUGGUUUUUGUGCCCAGGGCUGUGUUGUGCAAUGAAAGGAAACAAGUAAAUCCUUUUAAGGUGCUGUGGUAAUGCUCAUAGCUUAAAAAAUAAAAUAGUGCUGAUGGUUGGUGCUAUCAUUUUAUAUUUAGACAAAUUGAAGACCUGGGGAAGAGAAAAGGUGACCUUUGCAAGGUUGUCCAUGAGGUCUCUGGUACAACUAGGAGUAGUUACUGGGUUUCUUGAAGGUCUCUCUGUGGGCUAUAUAUGCUGCUGAGCCAUUUUUUCCCCACUUGCAUUGACUUUCUCAUGAUUUUAUGGUACAGCAGAAGCAAUUAGAGCCACAUCGUGUGCCUGCUGUGUGCAGUGCUGAGGUUUGUCUCAACUCUUCCGGCCUCUAUGAGAGAAGACCUGAGAAAAUACUUGCAUCUUUCAAGACCAGGCUCUUUGAAAGCACUCGGAGAAGCAUCAGGUUACUGAUUCCUUUGUAAGCCUGAUGUGCUGAGGAAGGAAAGCAAGUGCUGAUUAUCUGGGCAGGUGACUAGUUUUGCUGCUACAGAAAGAUGUGAUCAGCUGUUUUGUUCAGUGCUCAUAUAAAUCCUUGGUGAAUGGUGUCUUCCACUUCUGCCUGUACAUUAUCUGAAAUGACCCAGUCAAGCACAUUUUUCUGUAUUUUAAUGCUAUAUUAAUUCUUUGUGUUCUGCACUGAGAAGAUUCCUUGGUGAUGUUCUUGGGCAACCCUCCACAGAAUCAGUCCUGCUUCAAUGAAUAGUAAUAUAAAAUCUUUUUCCCUUCAGUGACUCCAAAUUUGAUAGCAGGACAUCAAAAACAUCAUUCAGCCUUGAUUGCAGUAAUGGAUGAAGAACUGCUUGUGCUGGAGGAUACCAAAUUACAGAGGAAUGCCAUGUGUACUCCCGGAUGUACAUGACAGAUGAACAGGAAAGGAGACGAAAGCUUACAUUUGACUGCUUGCAGGAUAAUUGUGUUAGUGCAUAAUAAUCCAGGACAUGGUUCAAUCACAGAGGCUGAAAUUCUGAGGGUCCCUUUUUAGUGUUGAAUGAAAGAAACUGUUCAAUUCAAGAACCGUAACAAUUCAGUUACUGCUAAUCUUCCUCCUUAAGCUGUGCAUGACACUUUACUAUCUUUAAUUUUUUUAACAUCAUUAGUUAGGUGAAUAGCAAACAUGAGGAAAAAGUGUGAAUCACCUUCCUAGUUCUCCUCUCAAUAAAAAUCUCUACAAAAAUCUUUCACAAACCACUUAGAUACUCAUCACG